GAUGAACGCUGGCGGCGUGCCUAAUACAUGCAAGUCGAGCGAACGGACGAGAAGCUUGCUCCUCUGAUGUUAGCGGCGGACGGGUGAGUAACACGUGGAUAACCUACCUAUAAGACUGGGAUAACUUCGGGAAACCGUAGCUAAUACCGGAUAAUAUUUUGAACCGCAUGGUUCAAAAGUGAAAGACGGUCUUGCUGUCACUUAUAGAUGGAUCCGCGCUGCAUUAGCUAGUUGGUAAGGUAACGGCUUACCAAGGCAACGAUGCAUAGCCGACCUGAGAGGGUGAUCGGCCACACUGGAACUGAGACACGGUCCAGACUCCUACGGGAGGCAGCAGUAGGGAAUCUUCCGCAAUGGGCGAAAGCCUGACGGAGCAACGCCGCGUGAGUGAUGAAGGUCUUCGGAUCGUAAAACUCUGUUAUUAGGGAAGAACAUCUGUGUAAGUAACUGUGCACAUCUUGACGGUACCUAAUCAGAAAGCCACGGCUAACUACGUG
RNAcentral lists this ribosomal RNA (497 nucleotides) under uncultured bacterium. RNAcentral describes it as "partial 16S ribosomal RNA". It matches the Rfam family "Bacterial small subunit ribosomal RNA", at positions 28 to 507 of the family's 1533-position model. The record is from RNAcentral.